UACGUAGGGUGCAAGCGUUAAUCGGAAUUACUGGGCGUAAAGCGUGCGCAGGUGGUUGUGUAAGCCAGAUGUGAAAUCCCCGGGCUUAACCUGGGAAUGGCAUUUGGGACUGCACGGCUAGAGUGUGGCAGAGGGGGGUGGAAUUCCACGUGUAGCAGUGAAAUGCGUAGAGAUGUGGAGGAACACCGAUGGCGAAGGCAGCCCCCUGGGCCAACACUGACGCUCAGGCACGAAAGCGUGGGGAGCAAACAGG
This 253-nucleotide ribosomal RNA is filed under the name uncultured bacterium. RNAcentral describes it as "partial 16S ribosomal RNA". It matches the Rfam family "Bacterial small subunit ribosomal RNA", at positions 524 to 776 of the family's 1533-position model. The record is from RNAcentral.